GUAUGCUCCAGGCCAAACUCACGUAACUAGUCAGAAGAUGCGGCCCACAACUGAACGGAAGACAAGUGUCACAAUCGCACUCUUGCAGUAGUGAGACAAUGAUUAUGUGACAUUUGUUCUAAUCCAAUGAACAAGUCAACCAUGCAAAAUUUAGACUAAACGAACAAUAGCAGUGUAUGCUCGAAUCACGUUUAGAAGAAAUAUUUUAGAAAACUUGAGCGAGGAAAUACAUUAAAAACAAUUUCAAAUAAAGCAAUGUUAUAAACUAAAAGUGAAGAAACAACAACUGGUCACGUUCUCCUAUAGUACAUUUUGGGACAUUUUAGUCCUGAUGGGUGUAGAUAUGAUUUUGAGGACUAAUCAUACACCCCGUAUUGGCACAACAAUAAUAGUAAAGGCCUAUCUAAGAUGAAAGCAAGUAAAACGUGUUUGGAAUGAGCAUGCCACCAUGAACCACAAAUCGUUUACAGGAAUAGCUGAGACAUCUAACAUGCAGCCACAGGCAACAUGCCUCGGCCAAUCAUGACCGCGACAUCUGCCCUUACACAAUUUGUCAAUAUCUCUAUCAACCGGCUCUUCAUAAACUCAACGUUGUAGGAUGAGGCUGACUUUAGGUCUCGCGACGCGCUUCUAGCUGAUCUCAGUAUUGAGGAGUCUUUUCCAACCUACUAGGAGCUAUUGAAAAUCACUUCUCGGUUUGUUAACUCUUCAAGUCUUCUCUGUUGGUGUCUUUCCUACUUUUUUCGCUUGAAACAAUUUCUUCUUUGCAUGACGUCAUACCACCUGCUUUUACUUGAUGUUUUCUUGGUCGGAAUAAUAACAUUUCAAGUUACUUACGUGGACAACAGGGUUAGUCUGUAUCCAUAGGAGCAAUUGGAUCCUAUAUGAUGUCUUCCUAAUCUUGUGGAUAACUUCGACUAGUCCAUAGAAUUUUCGCACCAGUCUUUGGUUCUUGUUGCUUUGAACUCAAAGUUGAUCUAACCUUAACUUAUCAUAACUCUCUAUUUGCUUUGAAAUUAUCGUGGUCGACCCUUCUCUUCAUCCGUCUGGAUGGUAUUUUUGCGUGAACAUGUGUUGCUUUAGUGGUUUGUUUUUGUCUCCCUUCUUCAGUAGAGGUGUUGGCUUGGUGUCUUUGCCAAGCAUUUGAGUGAUCAGUGACAAGAGCCUUUGGAGGUCAAAUAAACCCGACUGUGAACAUGCCAUUUUUCUAUUUGUAGAAUUCAACUAGCUCAGGCUGAGCCGCAUGACAUCUAUUUGUGUGGCAAAAAAGUUUUUGUUGAGGUUGGCACACUUGAGCUCCCCCUUUUCAAAUACAACAAUGGCAGCAAGUGUAGAUUCAUCAUGCCUAAGAUUCUUUCUCAAUUGUACUAUCGUCAUCAUUUUCACCCCUCUUGGUUGAUGGAUGUUUGUCUGAAUGAUCGUUGGGUUAGACUCCGUUACUACUAUGCAUUUUGCUAGGGGCAUGUAAAUGACUUUGUGUUCUAGCAGGAUGUCAAUCCCUGACUAUUUGGGCUCUAGAAUGUUGGAUAUGAAGGCUGACUAUUUAUAGUAAAAAUCUGAUAGAGAUAUAUAUACUAAAUAAUUAUAUAUAGUAGGUGGUUACAUAUAGUGAAGUUAUAUAUAAUAAACUGAAAUCAUAUGUAUACCCAUUGUCAGUGCUUCCUAAAUGUACAUUUCUCAUUCUCCAUAUCCUCUCUUUGCAUACCUGAAGUCAUUAAUACAAAACCAUUAGUCAAUAUUUCUUCUUACAUAUUCUCUAUCAUGUUUUUUGUGUUCAUUUAGAUCAAGUGUGUGCGUUGUUGUGUUAUUCUAAUAACUGGUAUCAGAGCGAGGAGAGAUUCACCACGAUCUGUGAAGAUGGAAAGUUCAAAGACUGGAAUUGAAAAGUUUGAUGGAUUCGAUAUCAGUUUCUAGAAGAUGCAGAUUGAAGAUUAUCUAUACGAGAAAGAUAUUCAGGAACCCAUUUUGGGGGUGAAGCUGGAUACCAUGACCACGGAGGAGUGGAAGCUCAAGGAUUGUCACGCCGUAGGGUUAAUCUGGUUGACGCUGCCAGGGAACCAAAGAAAGUGCGAUUGGAAAUGGUCCAUACAGACGUUUAGGGACCAUCUCCAGUUUCUUCAUUUCUGGUACCAAAAUUUCAUGGAUUAGAGGUCUCGCACUGUGCAACGACAACUCUCUGUUUUCCUAAGGCUAGUCAGAUAUCUCAUGACCACUCUUUUCCUCCUCACCAUAUCUAGACACUAUAACGUUGAUCCAGUAUUGUCUUAUAUAGUUAACGUUCACUC
Non-coding RNA from Cucurbita pepo subsp. pepo (vegetable marrow), 2285 nucleotides. NCBI's taxonomy places the organism in Eukaryota, Viridiplantae, Streptophyta, Magnoliopsida, Cucurbitales, Cucurbitaceae. The record is from RefSeq and is a predicted model, not a curated record.